ACUCCUACGGGGAGGCAGCAGUGGGGAAUAUUGCACAAUGGGCGCAAGCCUGAUGCAGCAACGCCGUGUGAGUGAAGAAGGUUUUCGGAUCGUAAAACUCUGUCCUUAAGGGAAGAAACAAAUGACGGUACCUUAGGAGGAAGCCCCGGCUAACUACGUGCCAGCAGCCGCGGUAAUACGUAGGGGGCAAGCGUUAUCCGGAAUCACUGGGCGUAAAGGGUGCGUAGGCGGCUUAGCAAGCCAGGGGUGAAAGGCAUUGGCUCAACCAAUGUAAGCCUUUGGAACUGUUAAGCUUGAGUGCAGGAGAGGUAAGUGGAAUUCCUAGUGUAGAGGUGAAAUUCGUAGAUAUUAGGAGGAACACCAGUGGCGAAGGCGACUUACUGGACUGUAACUGACGCUGAUGCACGAAAGCGUGGGUAGCGAAC
Molecule: ribosomal RNA, 425 nt
Filed under: uncultured bacterium
Lineage: Bacteria
Description: bacterial SSU rRNA
Rfam family: Bacterial small subunit ribosomal RNA
Source: RNAcentral